Molecule: ribosomal RNA, 496 nt
Filed under: uncultured bacterium
Lineage: Bacteria
Description: partial 16S ribosomal RNA
Rfam family: Bacterial small subunit ribosomal RNA
Source: RNAcentral
AUGCACGCUGGCGGCGUGCCUCAUACAUGCAAGUCGCGCGAACGGACGAGAAGCUUGCUUCUCUGAUGUUAGCGGCGGACGGGUGAGUAACACGUGGAUAACCUACCUAUAAGACUGGGAUAACUUCGGGAAACCGGAGCUAAUACCGGAUAAUAUUUUGAACCGCAUGGUUCCAAAGUGAAAGACGGUCUUGCUGUCACUUAUAGCUGGAUCCGCGCUGCAUUAGCUAGUUGGUAAGGUAACGGCUUACCAAGGCAACGAUGCAUAGCCGACCUGAGAGGGUGAUCGGCCACACUGGAACUGAGACACGGUCCAGACUCCUACGGGAGGCAGCAGUAGGGAAUCUUCCGCAAUGGGCGAAAGCCUGACGGAGCAACGCCGCGUGAGUGAUGAAGGUCUUCGGAUCGUAAAACUCUGUUAUUAGGGAAGAACAUAUGUGUAAGUAACUGUGCACAUCUUGACGGUACCUAAUCAGAAAGCCACGGCUAACUACGUG